RNAcentral lists this ribosomal RNA (415 nucleotides) under uncultured bacterium. RNAcentral describes it as "partial 16S ribosomal RNA". It matches the Rfam family "Bacterial small subunit ribosomal RNA", at positions 355 to 762 of the family's 1533-position model. The record is from RNAcentral.
UGGGGAAUUUUGGACAAUGGGGGAAACCCUGAUCCAGCCAUCCCGCGUGUGCGAUGAAGGCCUUCGGGUUGUAAAGCACUUUUGGCAGGAAAGAAACGUCGCGGGUUAAUACCCCGCGAAACUGACGGUACCUGCAGAAUAAGCACCGGCUAACUACGUGCCAGCAGCCGCGGUAAUACGUAGGGUGCAAGCGUUAACCGGAAUUACUGGGCGUAAAGCGUGCGCAGGCGGUUCGGAAAGAAAGAUGUGAAUCCCAGAGCUUAACUUUGGAACUGCAUUUUUAACUACCGGGCUAGAGUGUGUCAGAGGGAGGUGGAAUUCCGCGUGUAGCAGUGAAUGCGUAGAUAUGCGGAGGAACACCGAUGGCGAAGGCAGCCUCCUGGGGCAUAACACUGACGCUCAUGCACGAAAGCGU